GACUAUGCACCAGUUCAUGAGCCA
This 24-nucleotide non-coding RNA is filed under the name Arabidopsis thaliana (thale cress). The record is from RNAcentral. Lineage: Eukaryota; Viridiplantae; Streptophyta; Magnoliopsida; Brassicales; Brassicaceae.